This 934-nucleotide long non-coding RNA is filed under the name Equus caballus (horse). Its description in RNAcentral is "lncRNA (ENSECAG00000034331.3)". Lineage: Eukaryota; Metazoa; Chordata; Mammalia; Perissodactyla; Equidae. The record is from RNAcentral.
CGCCAACAAAAUGUAGACGAACUGCGGGAACAGACGCAAGGCCACAGUGGCAGAUCAAAGCGAGGCGGCGAGGGGGCAGGCUCAGCUACGCAUGAUGAGGCACUACCAUAAUGAAGUUUGAUCCUGGUAAAGAACACAGGAGCCUGUAGAGGUCCAAGACCAGAAAUCAACCCCACACCCUGGCCCUCAGACUUAAGCACAUCGCGCACAGUCACAAAAACCAAAAGAGUGAGCUGGUGUGUGUCCGUUUUGCCUAAAUCACGUGAGCUUUGUUGCUGUGGUUGAAGUUGGAGAAAAUCAGAAUGGCGCACCAUAAGGGCAAAGCAAGUAGGUCUAGGUGGCUGAAAAUAAGAUUUUAUGGCCUGACGCGUGGUGGGUUGGUUGACAGCGCUGGAGACCUUCUUUAAUUCGAGGGGGCCAUGGAGCAUGGAGAACAAUCAGAAAUUCCCAGAGCUGUCAGCUCUUUAUCACGUGAUGUCAGUGCUGAGCUGGACCACAUUUUCUGUCUCUGGUGCUACAGUUUUCUCCCCGAAGUUCCUUAAAUGUGACCAAACCUCUCCUCAACGCCACGGAAUGCAGAGCUUGGAGGGUCUGUUGGGCGGCGCGGGCUGCCCCUCAGGAAUACUGCCGCCUCUGACCAUGGCUAGAAUCACCAGCAGCUUCCAGCUUGUGAUGUGGGGGACGCAAGAGGCCGGGUACCCUUGUUCUGUGUCAGUUACAUUGGCUUCCUUGAUUCAAAGCGGUUGCCUCAUAAGUAUUAUUUUUUUGUGAAUAUUAUGCUUGACAGUUUAAAUUCAUGCAUUCUAGUGUUUUUUAGUCACCACCACUUCCAUACCACUCAGAGAUUGUGUCAGAGCCUAGCAUGCUAUUUUGCAAACAUCAAAUGUUAAAUAAAUAUUUUGCUGUGAAUGAAUGAAUGAGUGGACGGAUGGAU